Long non-coding RNA from Erinaceus europaeus (western European hedgehog), 540 nucleotides. RefSeq lists it as uncharacterized. The record is from RefSeq and is a predicted model, not a curated record. The transcript is spliced from 3 exons. Lineage: Eukaryota; Metazoa; Chordata; Mammalia; Eulipotyphla; Erinaceidae.
AACAAGGCGCACGCGCAGACGGGGGUGGGCCGGCAUAGGAAGGUCUUGGUCCCGGCGCUCGGCCAGUCCCCGAGGAAGGGGCCGCUCAGCGUGGCGUUCAGCAAGGCGAGAAGCAGUGUCCGGGAGUGCGUUUCCGCCACUGGGCUCGGAGGCGUGCCCGUCCUGCCAGCCCGGCUGCUCGCUUCCUGCGGUGACACGCUUCCGGUGGCAGUGACACGAGGGCGUCUGUGACGUCAUCGUAGGGCGACGAGGGCGACGGGCCCGCCCAGGCCACGUGACCCCGGCACCGGCAUCCCCAGGUCACCUCUUCACCUGUCCGCAGGGAGAGCACAGCUGAGUUUCUGGAGGCUACAGGACAAGAUACAGCCACGGAGUCAGUGCUGAAAAAGCAUUUGCCCUUCUUCCGUAGCCAGUCAACAGCGUCAGGUUGAGCCUGAUGUAAAGUUUCGAGACCUCCUUUGAAUCUGGAGAGGUGGCAGUCGUUGACUAUGUGGGUCAUAGUCUGUCUGUAGCUGCAUAAUAAACUGCUAAUAAACGAGA